RNAcentral lists this non-coding RNA (378 nucleotides) under Orbilia yunnanensis. RNAcentral describes it as "partial 18S ribosomal RNA". The stretch from base 22 to 337 matches the Rfam family "Group I catalytic intron". From Rfam's summary of the family: Group I catalytic introns are large self-splicing ribozymes. They catalyse their own excision from mRNA, tRNA and rRNA precursors in a wide range of organisms. The record is from RNAcentral. Lineage: Eukaryota; Fungi; Ascomycota; Orbiliomycetes; Orbiliales; Orbiliaceae.
GAGAGCCUUUGUGGCCCUGCAAAGGGUACCUGCCGCGACUAUAAACAAAGAAUGUGGGUAUUAAAUCGCAAGUCAGCUCCGGCUGGCCACACUUUCGAAUUGCGGGGACUCCCUAAAGCUCUGUUCUACCAACCGGUGGGGGAAACUCAACCGGGGCCAAUGCUAACAACAUUGGGUAUGGUAACAAUGAAGAGAGAUGCGCCAAUGGGUGAUCCGCAGCCAAGUCCCUACAGUGCUCCAUGGCACCAUGGGAAAGGUUCACAGACUAAGUGGAAGUGGGUUGGGCGGAUGAACCGUUCAGCUUAAGAUAUAGUCGGGCCUUGGUUGAAAAAUCUGGGAAGUCACUGUUCCGUAGGUGAACCUGCGGAAGGAUCAUUA